This is a non-coding RNA of Delphinapterus leucas (beluga whale), 4521 nucleotides long. NCBI's taxonomy places the organism in Eukaryota, Metazoa, Chordata, Mammalia, Artiodactyla, Monodontidae. The record is from RefSeq and is a predicted model, not a curated record.
GGCACAUGGGGACUUCUGGGGGGCUUGCGACAUUUCUAGCCCUGGGUUAUGGCUACGUGGAUGCUCACUCUGUAGCUGUACAUUUUUGUUUUGUGAACUGAACGUAUGUAAUAUUACAAAAUCAAACUGAAAAAAAAAAAAAGCAACUGUGACGCGUCUCUUUCCCACUCUACCACCUACUUUGAAGCAACUAGGCCAUUCUGUGCUGAUUCUUUCUGGAGAGGAGAUGAUAGCGAAAAUGCAAAGAAAAACUAGACUUUUCCCCCUGACAUUUUGCAUUUCAAAACUUAAGCUCUUCAGGUAAUGGAAAAUUGCACAACCACUCUACUGUAUAGACAAAUGUCAAUAGUGGACUUGGAUUAAAGGAAAACCCGGACACAGGCAUUAUGUGGGUAAAUCAAACAGUGUUUAUUUAUCUAAAGUAAACAGAUGGAGGCCAUGAAGUCAGGCCACAGAGUGGAGAGACUAGCAACGUUAUUUGGGACAGACAGAGGUGACCACGCAAUAGGCUCACACUUGUGUAUGAUAAUGUCUGAGCGAGGGUGGCAGCAGACCUUUUUGAAGCUUGACUGCCCCCAUUUGUGCCAGCUUUGUGUCCUGAAGAGAAGUGCAGUUCUAUCUACUAAGACUGGUGCUGUUGUCUUUCUCUACUUCAUCGAGGAGGGUAAUGCCAGGUUUAAAACUGGUGCAGUUGUGCAUAUGGGUGAGUGUGAUUAUGUGCCAGGACCACAUCACCUGAGCCAGAAGCUCUCAUCAGCCUCAGGUGGCACUAUGUGCUACGUGACUCAAAGGACAUAUGGUAUAAUCCAGUCCACUUGGGCACAAAUGCAGUCUCUUUUGCCAUCCUUCACCUCCCCACAUCACAACAGCCCAGUCUCCAUGCCCAGGUGUCUCUGGGAAUCAUGCUAACAGGCCCUAGGACCAGGGAGAGGACAUAGUGCCAAAGUCAUUGCAACAGGAAGAAAAUAUCACGGGCAAAAGCAAGACUUCUGCCACCCCUGUCCUCCAAACUCCAGAUAAGUCUUCCUUCCCCUCCCUAGGCUGGGGUUAUGCAGAGUUGAGAGAUGUGGUGUUACAAGCUGUCAUCUCUCUGCUCCUAAAAGCUCUUCUAUACUCUGCUUUACGAUGGUGAAGCUGUAACUUUGCAACUCAGUUUCCUUGUUGCCAACAGCUCCCUGCCAGGUCCCGCUAAUAAGGAACACUAAAGGGAGACCGGAAGACGGGAGGAUGGAGAAGGGUCAUACUCCUGUGUAUUUGCUGUUGCUGUCAGCGUUACCCUGGCAGCAGAGUUGGGUCCAGUUUCCAGUGUUUCUCUAUAAUCCCGCAAUCGACCCAUCACACCCCAUCAGAGGUAACUUAGACCUUCCCUCUGGGCUCUUGUGGUUCAAUGGCAUUAGCUCAUGCCCCCUCCUCAGAGAUUUGAGUCCCAGCUCUGUGAGACCCCUCUUCCAGGGUGCUGAGUUCUGAUCUCUUCCCUUUGUUCUCCCAGUCCUAGGAGUGGUAGCUGUUUCCUGCAGUUACAUGUUUGCAUGACAUCAGUGUUCUUUUUCUGCCUUUUCAGUCCUUUGGUAGCCGUCCAGCCAAUUCCCUAUAUUAAAUCCCCUCAUUGGCUGCUAAUAGGUACGGGUUUUCUCUUUGGUGUGAUGAAAAUUUUCUGGAAUUAGAUAGUGGUGAUGGUUGCACAACCUUGUGAAUAUGCUAAAAACCACUGAGUUGUACACUUUAAAAGGGGGAAUUUUAUGACAUGUGAAGUACACCUCAUUAAUAUCAUAAAUACUUUAUGUUGAAUUACCUGACUGGAAAUUGAUUAAUAGAGCAUUAAUCAAGGAGAGCAUGGUGUCUAAUUUUAUGUGUCAACUUGGCUGGGCCACAGUACCCAGAUCUGUGGUCAAACGUUAUUCUGAGCGUUUCUGUAGGGGUGUUUUGGAUGAGAUUAACAUUUAAAUCGGUGGACUUGGAGUAAAAUAGAUUGCCCUCCGAAAUGUGGGUAGGCUCAUCCAGUCGGGUGAAGGCCUGCACAGAAUAAAAAGACAAGUCUUCCCCAAGCAAGGGAGAAUUCUCCAGCACACUGCCUUUGGACUUCAUCUGCCAAUCUCUUCCCAGUUCUACAUCAGACAGCCUUCAGACCUGAACUAGAACAUCUGCUCUCCUGGGUCUCCAGCCUGCCAGCCCAACCUGCAGAUUUUGGACUUGCCAGCCUCCAAAAAUAUCAUCCUGUUUCCAUGACAUCCUACUCCAAUCCCCCAAACCCAGAGCAAGCCUGGUCAGGGGUGGGGAGUCACCAUGCAGUUGAAGAGCCCUGACCCAACCAAGUGAUGUCACAGGAGCUGGUCCAGGAUGGAGAUCCUGUCCAUUUGCUGGUGGCCAGAGUCACAGGGUCACAAGACCUCCAGCUGCUUGACUCAAAAGGGUGCCCAGGGCACAGCAGGCACUUGGGCUCUGUGGUUCUGUCUGUGGUGAUUUUGCUUCCUGAGGACAUCUGGCAAUGUCUGGAGACACUUUUAGUUCUUACCACUGGGGAGUGGGUGCUACUGGAAUCCAGGCAGGAGUGGGCAAGGAAGGCUGCUGAACAUACUACAGACCAAGAAUUACCCAGCCCCAAAUCUCCAUAAGGCUGAGAUUUAAAAACCUGCCCGCCAUUAGAUCCCCUGGUCGGUCUUGCAGCAGGAGAGAUGGGGUCCUGAGGGUCCCACCUGUGGAAGUUCCUUGGCCGGUAUGCCCCUGUUCUAGAGGAGAGGCAGGUUUCUCCAAGGCCAGGUGGAGAGAACCAGCCCAGUCCACCCCAGGCACUGCAUUUCCCAGGAGCUGGGAGGAAUUAAAUUAUAAUAUACGGACUAACAUUGAUACAGUGUGUGACAGGUGACAGAGUUCUUCCUCUGUGCUGGGGUUCAGUACAGGCUGGGAUCCUCUGCACUGCCGCCCAUAUUGUUGGGGUCCUGGACAGGUUGGGGGGAAGGGGAAAGGCUACAUCUGCUUCUCAUUCUUUCAUGAAACGAGUUCCUUGUCAUCAACUCCCCAGUCUCCCUUUGAUCACAACUCUGACAGUUCAAACCCUUCAUGUUAUUGCAGGUUCCACUUGUGGGUAGGAGGCCUUCCCCAGCAGAUGUGAAGGCAAACAUACUCUUUCUCCCCAUGCUGUGGUAUCCUGGAGACUGGUGAGCCGGAGCUAGGAUGCCAUGACAUCAGCUCCUAGACCUGAGCUGGCACAGAGCGUGCCCAGGCAGUGUUUGCCGAGAGGAUGAAUAGAAGAGGGUCACCUUCCUUUUGACUCCUUAGGGUGUCUUCAGCCUUCUUUGGAAGAAGAUUUGGAAGUGAGGAAGAGAAAGCUAUGGGUCAGAGUAUCCUCUGGUGAUUGGUUUUCUCACAGGGCUGAGCUUUCUAAAAUUCCCUGAAAUGUUCACCGUCAGUCCUCUAACGGGAGCUCUUUCCUCUGAUUCAUUCAUUCAUUCAAAGUGACAUUGAGUUACCCUUCUUCACAAAGGAGCCCCAGCUUGCCCAGAAGAAGAAAGUUAGGUGUUGGCUCAAAAGGAAUUCAAAGGCGUCAGAUGACUUGGCAGGUGCUCCCUGGCUGUGCACAUGCCACACCUGGAUGAAAAUUACCCCUCCAGAGUAGCAAGUUAAAGAAAGACCUUUGGGUCUAAUGUUUGGAGUGCUGAUUUCCCAUCGUUUAAAAUCCUGGAGUAGACGUGAGCUGCAUUUGAUUGGUCUCCACGUAACAGCUCAGACUCUGUAUGCCGACCCCCUCUGCUCCCUCUCGGCUCCCCUGCCCGAGGCCCUGCCGUCCUGAGGGGGGCUGAACACGAACAGACCAGGAGCUGGAGGAUGGAAUGCGUCCCCUUCUAGCAAUGCCUUUUGGAAAAUGCAGAGUGGAGCACGAGCCAGAGUAGUUGUGUAUGAGGAAAGCAAUUGAGUGGCUCACAGAAUCCCGAGGAAGAAGAACACUCGGACCUUCUAAAGACACAGGGACAAAAGGAAGAACCACAAGCAAAAUCACUCCCCAGGGCUUCCCUGGUGGCGCAGUGGUUGAGAGUCCGCCUGCCGAUUCAGGGGACACGGGUUCGUGCCCUGGUCCGGGAAGAUCCCACAUGCCGCAGAGCGGCUGGGCCCGUGAGCCAUGGCCGCUGAGCCUGCGAGUCCGGAGCCUGUGCUCCGCAACGGGAGAGGCCGUAGCGGUGAGAGGCCUGCGUACCGCAAAAAAAAUCACUCCCCAGAACUACUGCUGACGCCCUGCUGGCUCCUGAGUGUCACCCAGUGGCACUGCGGCUGUACAGCUGGUGGACCCAAGUUGCUGCCCAGACCAGAAUCAGGGAGACCUGAUUCAUAGACCUGGCAGACCUCUGCUGGGAGACUUAGGGGGGGUGACAUGAGUCCUCAAAGGACCCACCAGCUGGCUAGGUGGGAUCAGCUAGAGACAGCUUUAGGAUUCUGGUUUAUUGCUGGAAAUAAAAGAGACAAUGAUGGUCAACUCUUGUGCUGGUUGGAUCCCACGUGUAGACAAGGAAUUUCAAACUCUAAUUUUAC